RNAcentral lists this ribosomal RNA (250 nucleotides) under Enterococcus faecalis 10244. RNAcentral's name for it is "partial 16S ribosomal RNA". It matches the Rfam family "Bacterial small subunit ribosomal RNA", at positions 1 to 228 of the family's 1533-position model. Lineage: Bacteria; Bacillati; Bacillota; Bacilli; Lactobacillales; Enterococcaceae. The record is from RNAcentral.
UUAUUAUGAGAGUUUGAUCCUGGCUCAGGACGAACGCUGGCGGCGUGCCUAAUACAUGCAAGUCGAACGCUUCUUUCCUCCCGAGUGCUUGCACUCAAUUGGAAAGAGGAGUGGCGGACGGGUGAGUAACACGUGGGUAACCUACCCAUCAGAGGGGGAUAACACUUGGAAACAGGUGCUAAUACCGCAUAACAGUUUAUGCCGCAUGGCAUAAGAGUGAAAGGCGCUUUCGGGUGUCGCUGAUGGAUGA